GCUCUGGUGGCCGGGGUGGUUAACGCUCCCCGCUUAACACGGUGUGGGCCUGGGUUCGAUUCCCAGCCAGAGUA
Molecule: non-coding RNA, 74 nt
Organism: Cherax quadricarinatus
Lineage: Eukaryota; Metazoa; Arthropoda; Malacostraca; Decapoda; Parastacidae
Source: the annotation of a RefSeq genome assembly